This 69-nucleotide transfer RNA is filed under the name Mephitis mephitis (striped skunk). Its description in RNAcentral is "tRNA-Lys". It matches the Rfam family "tRNA". Rfam says of the family: Transfer RNA (tRNA) molecules are approximately 80 nucleotides in length. Their secondary structure includes four short double-helical elements and three loops (D, anti-codon, and T loops). The record is from RNAcentral. Lineage: Eukaryota; Metazoa; Chordata; Mammalia; Carnivora; Mephitidae.
CAUUAAGAAGCUAAUGUAGCAUUAACCUUUUAAGUUAAAGACUGAGAGUACACAACCUCUCCUUAAUGA